Molecule: ribosomal RNA, 480 nt
Filed under: uncultured bacterium
Lineage: Bacteria
Description: partial 16S ribosomal RNA
Rfam family: Bacterial small subunit ribosomal RNA
Source: RNAcentral
GACGAACGCUGGCGGCGUGCCUAACACAUGCAAGUCGAGCGAAUGAAGUUCCUUCGGGAAUGGAUUUAGCGGCGGACGGGUGAGUAACACGUGGGCAACCUGCCUCAUAGAGGGGAAUAGCCUUCCGAAAGGGAGAUUAAUACCGCAUAAGAUUGUAGUACCGCAUGAUACAGCAAUUAAAGGAGCAAUCCGCUAUGAGAUGGGCCCGCGGCGCAUUAGCUAGUUGGUGAGGUAACGGCUCACCAAGGCGACGAUGCGUAGCCGACCUGAGAGGGUGAUCGGCCACAUUGGGACUGAGACACGGCCCAGACUCCUACGGGAGGCAGCAGUGGGGAAUAUUGCACAAUGGGGGAAACCCUGAUGCAGCAACGCCGCGUGAGUGAUGACGGCCUUCGGGUUGUAAAGCUCUGUCUUCAGGGACGAUAAUGACGGUACCUGAGGAGGAAGCCACGGCUAACUACGUGCCAGCAGCCGCCGUAC